Molecule: long non-coding RNA, 1895 nt
Filed under: Zostera marina
Lineage: Eukaryota; Viridiplantae; Streptophyta; Magnoliopsida; Alismatales; Zosteraceae
Description: long non-coding RNA (ZMAR_LNC004534)
Source: RNAcentral
GAUAACAUAAUCAAAUCAGAAUAACAUCAAUCGUGAUAUUCAUUCAUAAAAAUAGAAAUAGAGAAUUGGGUCAAAUAAGAAUUUUACUUUAUUUUAGCAUCAGAAUUCUUUAAUGGAAAAUAUUACUGAUAUUCUGACAAUAAUAAUCGAAUUUAAAUUGAUGAAGCAUAUAUAUUCAUAAAAUUAUACCAUUGCUAGGUUUAAGUUAUACCUCAAGAUGUUUAUCUAGUCCUCGAUAAUGUUAGGAUGGUCCUUGUUUGGAAAAAUAUCUUUGUAGACCUGUAUCCAUAUUAAAAGAAGAACAUAGUUACAAUAAUUCAUUUAGUAAUUUAGUUGAUGCUUCAAUUGAACAUUGGCACUUGGAUAUAGUAUACAAGCGAUUUUAGGUUGUUUCAUUCAUUUAAAAAUUUGAUUUUAGAACGAAUGAAUAAGUAUUAAUGUGAUUAAAUUUAGUGUUAUUUUAGUUAUAGAUUUAGUAUUCACUGUUAUUAAAUUCCCACCAAAAAAAUAAAUUCUUUGAUGGCUAACCUCCUGCACAUAAUAAAUACAUACCUAAUGGAAUACCCAACUAACUGUGGAAGUUAGAACAGAAAAGAUCAGAUAAAGGAGAAUCUAUUAAACCUCUUAGAUCAAGAGGAGCAGGACUUGAAACAGAAAAGUAGAGUGAACUGGCGGCCUUGGGGGAUUUAAACACUGUUUUUUUUAGCCAAAUGGUUCAUACACUGCCGUGAAUAUAAUAAUUUUUCAGAACUGGGAAGAAACCGUGAAUGCAAUUAAAGAUGAAGAAGCGAUAAAAAAGAAACUGUGUGAUGACCUAAGUAGCCUGGUAUAUAUCUUUCUUCCAUACCAGGUUGAACUUCUUGUGCCUUUCAAUAUAAUUUCUUAUUAUUUCAUAGGUUCAAGAAAGCAAUACCAGUCAGUUUGCAAGGCUAGAAGAAUUAAAAAAGAAGCUUGAACUUUUAAACCCUUCCCGAUCUUCUUUUAAUAUUCCAGUAGUAGUAAGUCAUCGAUCAAAUUACAUUACAUUUCCACAUAGUAUCAAGUAUAAUUUUUUCUUCUUUGUUACAUUCUCAGGAUGGAAAAUUAGCCACACCUCAAGUCCCUGAUAGCAUUCCAGUUUCAAAUUCUGCCACAACACAAUUAUCACAAGUUGGAAAUUCAACUGAACAGCCGAAUGAAAAAGCUUCUAAUCCACUUUCCAGCAAUGGUGGUGCUCAAACCAAAACCAAGACGACAACACCAAUUGAUGGUGGUGAGGGAAAGAUGAAGAAGAAAGUUUUGAAUUUGGGAAGAGGUAAGGGAAGAGGAUCUUCUACCACUGGAUGGACUGGAGCUGGGUUUGAUGUUGAUGGUCGGGUCUGAUUGCCUCCAUCCAAAUUCCAAUCCUCUUCCCAAGUAAGAAUUACACAUUGCUUUAUAUAUAGUUUAGGAAGGUCUGAUUGCUACUUGUGUGACAAAAGAGAUAGGAAAGCAAUAUCUCUUUAGAAAAACAGCAAAGACAAGCUUGCCGGAAUGCUUGCCGGAAGUGAUUUUAGACAAGCAGAAACAGCAAAGACAGAAAAUUGAUUUUAGAAAAAUAUUAAACUCACUCAGUUGGAAUGCUUGCCGGAAGUGAACAAGAAGUUGUUUGUCGGAAGAAAGGAGUGAUCGUCGGCGAAAUGGAGGGAUCUUCGGCGGACUGGAGUGAUCGUCGCGACUGGAGGGAUCGUCAAGAACGAUUUGGGGAAAUCGAUUUGGGUUUUGGGUGUUUGAGUUGGGGAAAGUAGAUUUGGGGAAAUCGAUUUGGGGAAAUCGAUUUGGGGUUUUGAGGGUUUGAUUUGGGGGAAAUAACUAUAAAAUCACUUAAUUUAACUAAAUUUAUAAAUAAUACCUUAUUCUUUUAAAAUUUUAUAAAU